This 22-nucleotide microRNA is filed under the name Triops cancriformis. RNAcentral's name for it is "tcf-miR-10317". The record is from miRBase by way of RNAcentral. Lineage: Eukaryota; Metazoa; Arthropoda; Branchiopoda; Notostraca; Triopsidae.
CUUCCAUAGGUCGUACCUGAAU